RNAcentral lists this transfer RNA (73 nucleotides) under Cordylochernes scorpioides. RNAcentral describes it as "tRNA-Glu". It matches the Rfam family "tRNA". From Rfam's summary of the family: Transfer RNA (tRNA) molecules are approximately 80 nucleotides in length. Their secondary structure includes four short double-helical elements and three loops (D, anti-codon, and T loops). Further hydrogen bonds mediate the characteristic L-shaped molecular structure. tRNAs have two regions of fundamental functional importance: the anti-codon, which is responsible for specific mRNA codon recognition, and the 3' end, to which the tRNAs corresponding amino acid is attached (by aminoacyl-tRNA synthetases). tRNAs cope with the degeneracy of the genetic code in two manners: having more than one tRNA (with a specific anti-codon) for a particular amino acid; and 'wobble' base-pairing, i.e. permitting non-standard base-pairing at the 3rd anti-codon position. Lineage: Eukaryota; Metazoa; Arthropoda; Arachnida; Pseudoscorpiones; Chernetidae. The record is from RNAcentral.
GCCCGGCUAGCUCAGUUGGUAGAGCAUGAAACUCUCAAUCUCAGGGUCAUGGGUUCGAGCCCCACGUUGGGCG